Molecule: ribosomal RNA, 497 nt
Filed under: uncultured bacterium
Lineage: Bacteria
Description: partial 16S ribosomal RNA
Rfam family: Bacterial small subunit ribosomal RNA
Source: RNAcentral
GAUGAACGCUGGCGGCGUGCCUAAUACAUGCAAGUCGAGCGAACAGACGAGGAGCUUGCUCCUCUGACGUUAGCGGCGGACGGGUGAGUAACACGUGGAUAACCUACCUAUAAGACUGGGAUAACUUCGGGAAACCGGAGCUAAUACCGGAUAACAUGUUGAACCGCAUGGUUCAACAGUGAAAGACGGUCUUGCUGUCGCUUAUAGAUGGAUCCGCGCCGCAUUAGCUAGUUGGUAAGGUAACGGCUUACCAAGGCAACGAUGCGUAGCCGACCUGAGAGGGUGAUCGGCCACACUGGAACUGAGACACGGUCCAGACUCCUACGGGAGGCAGCAGUAGGGAAUCUUCCGCAAUGGGCGAAAGCCUGACGGAGCAACGCCGCGUGAGUGAAGAAGGUCUUCGGAUCGUAAAACUCUGUUAUUAGGGAAGAACAAAUGUGUAAGUAGCUAUGCACGUCUUGACGGUACCUAAUCAGAAAGCCACGGCUAACUACGUG